RNAcentral lists this ribosomal RNA (327 nucleotides) under uncultured eukaryote. RNAcentral's name for it is "partial 18S ribosomal RNA". It matches the Rfam family "Eukaryotic small subunit ribosomal RNA", at positions 1470 to 1796 of the family's 1831-position model. The record is from RNAcentral.
CCCUUAGAUGUUCUGGGCCGCACGCGCGCUACACUGAUGCAUGCAACGAGUUCUAUCCUUGGCCGGAAGGCCUGGGUAAUCUGUGAACGUGCAUCGUGAUAGGGAUAGAUUAUUGCAAUUAUUAAUCUUGAACGAGGAAUUCCUAGUAAACGCAAGUCAUCAGCUUGCAUUGAUUACGUCCCUGCCCUUUGUACACACCGCCCGUCGCUCCUACCGAUUGAAUGGUCCGGUGAAGCGUUCGGACCGUGGCCUUUGGACGGUUCGCCGUCUGUUGGCUGCGGGAAGUUCGUUAAACCUUAUCAUUUAGAGGAAGGAGAANUCGUANCA